Molecule: long non-coding RNA, 236 nt
Filed under: Carica papaya (papaya)
Lineage: Eukaryota; Viridiplantae; Streptophyta; Magnoliopsida; Brassicales; Caricaceae
Description: long non-coding RNA (CPAP_LNC001633)
Source: RNAcentral
CGAGCCAUGGGACUCUGUCAUGAUGUCCUUUUUAACUCACUGUCAUCUGGGACACACACCCUGUCUUGGAAACAAAGUAGUCCAUCGGCAGAUAUUCGGAAUUCUGAGCUCCCUCCCUGUUUUGCAUCCUUCUUGCGGGCUACCAGGGCGGGAUCAACUGUCUGGGCUUCCCUUAUUCUCUGAAUUAACUCGGGCUGGACUGUCAAGCGGCCCAAACAUGUGACUCUCUUCAGAUC